RNAcentral lists this long non-coding RNA (1209 nucleotides) under Zonotrichia albicollis (white-throated sparrow). Its description in RNAcentral is "lncRNA (ENSZALG00000006643.1)". Lineage: Eukaryota; Metazoa; Chordata; Aves; Passeriformes; Passerellidae. The record is from RNAcentral.
GAAUAUUUUAGAACAGGCUGAAGUACAGACACUGGGAAAUGAGAAAAAGGUGGAGCCUUCUCCCUUAAUCAAAGCUGCAUCCGGAUUUUGUCCAGGACUUCAUCCACCAUUCAUCAAUUUUUAAAAAAAUUUUUGUCCUUCAAAGACUAAUCUCAACAUAUUUUUUCUUUUUUGAAACUUAAGAAGUGUCCAAUUCUUCGGAAUAUGCUGCAUAAAAAACCUUCAGUACAAUAUGUUUGACUUCUCCAUAAAUAAUUUUACUGUAUGAAAUCAGAGCUUCUUAUUAUAUUUGGUCUUAUUCGUUUUGAUGUGCUGUGAUUUUCCUGCCUCAUGCUGUAGGUCAUGCUGUGGGAUUAGUUAUACAGCCAUUCUGCUACUGACUAGUAACUGACAGAAGCUGUUUUCAUAACCUUUUUUGAAGAUUGCAACAUCUAUAUAUGUAUUUCUGUUUUCCAGCUUAUCUUGACUUUUCAAAAUACUUGCAAGCUCCUUAUCAGCAGAGUUUUAAAACUUGUAGUAAGGAAUAAGUUCCUUUUCCUAGCUAGCAUGCUAUCAGUUUGGGAAAAGUCACUUAAAAACAUGAGCAAAAGAGUCUCAAUAUAUUUAAAUUGUAACCUUGAAAGAAAAAGGAAUGUUAUCUCAAAUGAUCAAGACUAAUGAUUCAGGAUUUUAGAGAUCAUUAUCAAAACUUCAGAGUCAAGUUAGAUGUACUGGAUAAGCCUGACUGCUGGAUGGAUUCAGAAGAUCCUUGAGAGCAAGGUAAGGAAAAUGUUCAGAUGGAGAAUCAGUUCAGACUGUGAGCUAAUGCAGCCUCCUCAGUACGUCAGAAGAACUGUAAAUCCUAUUCAGAAGAUUUUCACCCAAAUGAAAUGGAUUUUGGCUAUGCUCCUGCCCUGGAUGGGUACUCUGAAGGUAUCCAUGAACUUUCUAUUAUUAAUCAGAAAAUACACAGAAAGAUGGAGACUCAGCACCCUGCAAAUUCCAUGGCAUUUCACUGCCCCACUUUUACUGGAGAGAAAAUUGUUAUUUUGUACUGAUUUUUGCUGAUCACUUUUUAGUGGUAGUAAUAUAGCAGGAACUCUAGUUCUCACAGUGGAAAUACAGACAAUCAGAAAACAUCCCACCUAUCUACAUCUUUACUUCUUAAGGGGAUAAUUUUGUGAGAAAGAUUGAGUGAGGAUAGUAUUAAUAAAUCCCAAUUUUCUAUCA